This 433-nucleotide unclassified non-coding RNA is filed under the name soil metagenome. Its description in RNAcentral is "partial contains 5.8S ribosomal RNA, internal transcribed spacer 2, and large subunit ribosomal RNA". The stretch from base 1 to 120 matches the Rfam family "5.8S ribosomal RNA", at positions 35 to 154 of the family's 154-position model. The record is from RNAcentral.
GAUGAAGAACGUAGCGAAAUGCGAUACGUAAUGUGAAUUGCAGAAUUCAGUGAAUCAUCGAAUCUUUGAACGCAUAUUGCGCUCUCUGGUAUUCCGGAGAACAUGCUUGUUUGAGUAUCAGUAAACACCUCAACUUUCCAUAUCUUUUUUGAAAUGGGAGUUGGACUUGAGUGAUCCCAACGCUUUUCCUCACCGAAAAGUGGCGGGUUACUUGAAAUGCAGGUGCAGCUGGACUUUUCUCUGAGCUAUAAGCAUAUCUAUUUAGUCUGCCUAAAAAACAGAUUAUUACCUUUGCUGCAGCUAACAUAAAGGAGAUUAGUUCUUGUGCUGACUGAUGCAGGAUUCACAAAGACAGGCUUCGGCCGACUUUGUAAACUCGAUCUCAAAUCAAGUAAGACUACCCGCUGAACUUAAGCAUAUCAUAAGCGGAGGA